Molecule: unclassified non-coding RNA, 282 nt
Filed under: uncultured fungus
Lineage: Eukaryota; Fungi
Description: partial contains small subunit ribosomal RNA, internal transcribed spacer 1, and 5.8S ribosomal RNA
Rfam family: Eukaryotic small subunit ribosomal RNA (bases 1-73)
Source: RNAcentral
GCAAACUUGGUCAUUUAGAGGAAGUAAAAGUCGUAACAAGGUUUCCGUAGGUGAACCUGCGGAAGGAUCAUUAUCGAGAGCCCCUGCCCCUUGCCGGGUAGACUCCACACCCCAUGAUUACCACACGCCGUUUGCUUUGGCGGGUCCCUCGCGUCCCGCCAGAGGCCCAAACCUCGUCACGUCGCUGUCACGUCGGAAAAUCGUACCGGUCAUGGCGACCGACAACAUGUCAAAACUUUCAACAACGGAUCUCUUGGUUCUGGCAUCGAUGAAGAACGCAGC